This 667-nucleotide ribosomal RNA is filed under the name uncultured bacterium. Its description in RNAcentral is "bacterial SSU rRNA". It matches the Rfam family "Bacterial small subunit ribosomal RNA", at positions 140 to 805 of the family's 1533-position model. The record is from RNAcentral.
GGGAUAACCUUGCGAAAGUAGGACUAAUACCCAAUGACGUCUCUAGAAGACAUCUGAAAGAGAUUAAAGAUUUAUCGGUGAUGGAUGGGGAUGCGUCUGAUUAGCUUGUUGGCGGGGUAACGGCCCACCAAGGCAACGAUCAGUAGGGGUUCUGAGAGGAAGGUCCCCCACAUUGGAACUGAGACACGGUCCAAACUCCUACGGGAGGCAGCAGUGAGGAAUAUUGGUCAAUGGGCGAGAGCCUGAACCAGCCAAGUAGCGUGCAGGAUGACGGCCCUAUGGGUUGUAAACUGCUUUUAUAAGGGAAUAAAGUGGGAGUCGUGACUCCUUUUGCAUGUACCUUAUGAAUAAGGACCGGCUAAUUCCGUGCCAGCAGCCGCGGUAAUACGGAAGGUCCGGGCGUUAUCCGGAUUUAUUGGGUUUAAAGGGAGCGUAGGCCGGAGAUUAAGCGUGUUGUGAAAUGUAGACGCUCAACGUCUGCACUGCAGCGCGAACUGGUUUCCUUGAGUACGCACAAAGUGGGCGGAAUUCGUGGUGUAGCGGUGAAAUGCUUAGAUAUCACGAAGAACUCCGAUUGCGAAGGCAGCUCACUGGAGCGCAACUGACGCUGAAGCUCGAAAGUGCGGGUAUCGAACAGGAUUAGGUACCCUGGUAGUCCGCACGGUAA